UAAGCACGUGAUAAUGUGUAUCAGUGUUAUUCUUUGUUUAUUACAUUCUCCCGAAAGUAUUCCCUGCUGAAUUAAGUUGAUAGAAUGGGCAGUUGUGUUUCAUUUUUUAUGUUGAAAAUCACAACAAUCAGUUUCCCUACAUUU
This is a small nucleolar RNA of Vicia villosa (hairy vetch), 144 nucleotides long. RefSeq annotates it as small nucleolar RNA snoR135. The record is from RefSeq and is a predicted model, not a curated record. The transcript has a single exon. NCBI's taxonomy places the organism in Eukaryota, Viridiplantae, Streptophyta, Magnoliopsida, Fabales, Fabaceae.